AUGAAAAACACUCAAAUGGCAAAUGAACAUGUCCGGUUAAAGUCCACGAAAUUGUUGUCCGUCUGUUCUUGCGUGGAGAUUCGCGCUGGUCUUGUUGCCGGGUCCGGGGGAGCUCAAGCAGCGGAGCAGGAGGCGAUUCUCCCCGUCCAUGGCGAUUUUGAGACCUUCCCCCACUCGAGCUUGAUUUCUCUCCCCUUCCUCUUCGCUCCCCGGUGUCGCGGUUGGUUGUUCCUCUCUCUCUCCCCGUCGCGCGCUUGUGUUGUUCUGCUCUUGUUCGUCCCAGAUCUAGGUCAGUUCAUGUCGCCCUCUCGCGCAUGUGGUGCAGCCGCUGGAUUGAUAGGCUUCUGGUUGUUGUGGUCAUCCCCCGCGCGCUGCUGUGCUUGUGUUCCUGUAGGCGCGAGGGGUUUUGUAGAUGUUCCCGUAGGUGCUCAUGUUCCUGUAGAAGAUGGUUCUCAUCCUGUGUCUCCGGAUCUAUCUCGAGAUGAAGGAGAGUUCGACAAGGCUCUUUUGAAGUUCUAUCUCAAUCAAAGGCAGAAACGAUCUACUGAUUUCCCCACUUGUGCUACUUUCACUAGAUAUUCUGGGAAGUUCUUCUCUGGUGUUGUUGCUGGAAUGUGUCCUAGGUAUCAGAAUGUCAUCCAGACAUACGUCAUGGGCUGUCUCUUAAACUUUGUUAGGACUGAGGUUCCCCUUAGGCUAGUGAAGUGGCUUGCUAGUAGGUUUGAUGUCCCUUCAUCUGAAUUCCAGUUCGAAAGGAAAUUUAUCCCAAUGACCAAGUAUGAUAUCCAUGAUAUCCUUGACCUCCUAGUAGAUGGUGAGCCACUUGUGUCUGAUCCUGAGUCUGGCCGUGAUUUUAUCCUGUCUCACUUCAAUGUUUCUAGUAUUCCUCAUGUCUCUUUCUUCGCCAACAAGCUUAAAUCCACCGAAGUCGAAUUGUCUGAUGAAGACAUUUUCAUUUGCUUCAUGAUUGUUGCAUUGUCCUCAUUCCUUUUGUCCCAACUCUAG
RNAcentral lists this ribosomal RNA (1005 nucleotides) under Triticum aestivum (bread wheat). Its description in RNAcentral is "partial small subunit ribosomal RNA". Lineage: Eukaryota; Viridiplantae; Streptophyta; Magnoliopsida; Poales; Poaceae. The record is from RNAcentral.